UACGGGGGGAGCAAGCGUUGUUCGGAUUUACUGGGCGUAAAGGGCGCGUAGGCGGCCAGCACAAGUCAGUUGUGAAAUCUCCGAGCUUAACUCGGAAAGGUCAACUGAUACUGUGCGGCUAGAGUGCGGAAGGGGCAACUGAAAUUCUUGGUGUAGCGGUGAAAUGCGUAGAUAUCAAGAGGAACACCUGCGGCGAAGGCGGGUUGCUGGGCCGACACUGACGCUGAGGCGCGAAAACCAGGGAAGCGAACGGG
RNAcentral lists this ribosomal RNA (254 nucleotides) under uncultured bacterium. RNAcentral's name for it is "partial 16S ribosomal RNA". It matches the Rfam family "Bacterial small subunit ribosomal RNA", at positions 524 to 776 of the family's 1533-position model. The record is from RNAcentral.